This 229-nucleotide ribosomal RNA is filed under the name uncultured bacterium. RNAcentral's name for it is "partial 16S ribosomal RNA". It matches the Rfam family "Bacterial small subunit ribosomal RNA", at positions 104 to 334 of the family's 1533-position model. The record is from RNAcentral.
CGGGGUGAGUAAUGUCUGGGAAACUGCCUGAUGGAGGGGGGUAACUGCUGGAAACGGUAGCUAAUACCGCAUAACGUCGCAAGACCGAAGAGGGGGACCUUCGGGCCUCUUGCCAUCGGAUGUGCCCAGAUGGGAUUAGCUAGUAGGUGGGGUAACGGCUCACCUAGGCGACGAUCCCUAGCUGGUCUGAGAGGAUGACCAGCCACACUGGAACUGAGACACGGUCCAG